AAGUCGUAACAAGGUUUCCGUAGGUGAACCUGCGGAAGGAUCAUUAAAAAAGGUGAGGUGCCUAGCGGCGCCUCUAUACCUCCACCCUGUGUCUACCUACCUUUGUUGCUUUGGCGGGCCGCGGGAGCUCCUGCUCCCCCACUGGCCUAGGCCGGCGCGAGUCCGCCAGAGUCACCCCAAAAUCCAUUCAACCGUGCCGUCUGAUAAACAAAACAAAUAAGUAAAAA
This 227-nucleotide unclassified non-coding RNA is filed under the name plant metagenome. RNAcentral's name for it is "partial contains small subunit ribosomal RNA and internal transcribed spacer 1". The stretch from base 1 to 46 matches the Rfam family "Eukaryotic small subunit ribosomal RNA", at positions 1786 to 1831 of the family's 1831-position model. The record is from RNAcentral.